CCCGUGUUUAUUGUACCUUGUUGCUUCGGUGAGCCCGCCUCACGGCCGCCGGGGGGCUUCUGCCCCCGGGCCCGCGCCCACCGAAGACACCAUUGAACUCUGUCUGAAGAUUGCAGUCUGAGCAUAAACUAAAUAAGUUAAAACUUUCAACAACGGAUCUCUUGGUUCCGGCAUCGAUGAAGAACGCAGCGAAAUGCGAUAACUAAUGUGAAUUGCAGAAUUCAGUGAAUCAUCGAGUCUUUGAACGCACAUUGCGCCCCCUGGUAUUCCGGGGGGCAUGCCUGUCCGAGCGUCAUUGCUGCCCUCAAGCACGGCUUGUGUGUUGGGCUCCGUCCCCCCGGGGACGGGCCCGAAAGGCAGCGGCGGCACCGAGUCCGGUCCUCGAGCGUAUGGGGCUUUGUCACCCGCUCUGUAGGCCCGGCCGGCGCCAGCCGACAACCCAUCAUCCUUUUCAGGUUGACCUCGGAUCAGGUAGGGAUACCCGCUGAACUUAAGCAUAUCAAUAAGCGGAGGAA
Molecule: ribosomal RNA, 515 nt
Filed under: Penicillium sp. CJL-2014
Lineage: Eukaryota; Fungi; Ascomycota; Eurotiomycetes; Eurotiales; Aspergillaceae
Description: eukaryotic LSU rRNA
Rfam family: 5.8S ribosomal RNA (bases 142-295)
Source: RNAcentral